Molecule: ribosomal RNA, 119 nt
Filed under: Pteropus alecto (black flying fox)
Lineage: Eukaryota; Metazoa; Chordata; Mammalia; Chiroptera; Pteropodidae
Source: RNAcentral
GUCUAUGGCCAUGCCACCCUGAAUGUGCCUGAUCUCGUCUGAUCUCAGAAGCUAAGCAGGGUCAGGCCUGAUUUGUACUUGAAUGGGAGACCACCUAGGAAGACCAGGUGCCGUAGGCA